AUUAUUGUCUAUCGUCUAUGAGUCAGUGUUAUCAGAACCGGAUCGGAUAUCGAACCGGUCGAGGUAUGAGUUCAUGAGUUUAUGGGUUCGACCGGGGGUUCGAUGGGUCGGACCGCGUGUUUAAUUAUAAAAUAAAUAAAUAUUUAUUAUCUUAAUAAAUAUAAUAUCUACUAAUAAAUAGCAGGUUGACAAAAGUCAAAACCCUUCUUUCUGCCUUGGCUUCUUCUUCUUUAGGUGUCCAGUGGCUUCUUGGAGAAGCCAGCUCCUUACGUCUCCAACUCCAAGUCCAAGGUCUCUCUCUCCCCGUCACAUUCCCGAGUAUUUUCCCUUGACGGGGCCAAACGCGACCAAUUUCUCUACCUCGCCGCCGUCUCCACUGGAAGAUCUAAAGUUCUUGCCCGAUGCCGAGAAGCUUGCACCAGCAGCUCUUACCCUCUUGCUCUGAUUCUUCUUCCUCCUCCUCCUCCUCGUCCUCCUCGUCCUCGUCGACCGCCUUGAAGCUCCUCUUCUGAUCUUUGAGGAGGUGCCCAAAACUCUGCUUCCCGUGGCUGAGGUGAGAAGAGCUGAAGAUGAAGAGCAGUAGGAAGAAAACUAGGGUUUUCGAUUCAAUUCUGCAAUUUCUGCCCGUUUUCGAUUUCGGAUCGGGUAUUCGGUUCGGAUUUCCUUUAAAAUUUUUGAACCCAUGCAACCGCCCGGUUCGAUGGGUUUAUCUAAAAACCGGCCGGUUUUUUGGGUUCACCGGUUUUUUUGUGCCUUUUCGGUUUUUAAGCAAACCGGACCGGACAUAGGUCCGGUUUCCGGUCCGACCGGUCGAACCGGCCGGUCCGGUCCGGUUCUGAUAACACUGCUAUGAGUUCAUGAUAUCCUUGAUCUAUUAGUGGAAAUUACAUUCUUGCUCUCAA
Molecule: non-coding RNA, 902 nt
Organism: Punica granatum (pomegranate)
Lineage: Eukaryota; Viridiplantae; Streptophyta; Magnoliopsida; Myrtales; Lythraceae
Source: RefSeq, a predicted model, not a curated record